This 3172-nucleotide long non-coding RNA is filed under the name Podarcis lilfordi (Lilford's wall lizard). The record is from RNAcentral. Lineage: Eukaryota; Metazoa; Chordata; Lepidosauria; Squamata; Lacertidae.
UUUCUUUUCCUCGGCGUUUUAUUCACUUAUAACAGAAACAUUCACUUAUCAGGUAUCACUGAAGUGCAAUUUACAGAACUUAGCAGCAAAUUCACAUCUGUAAAUUCAGAUUUAAUUCUGUUUGUACAAAUCUUACAAAUGUACAUCCAUUCGUACAGUAUUGCCAUUCACUCAUGCUCGCGUAUGUACAUUGUCUUCCCUUUAGAAUAUCCUCACGAGUCAUUCUCCCUUGCUUCAGGAAAUGCAGAGGUGGUGCUGAGCAAUGGGUUUUGUCAGAAUGCAUCAACAGAGCAUCGCACGGGGGAAUCAAACUUGGGGGCCGUGGAGUCAAACAGAAAGAAUCCUUUGGGGCUUUCAAUGGAGUUAACAAACAUAGCCCACAGAAUUUUGCCACAUUUCUUGUUAAUUUGGUAUUUCUGCAGUAUUGGGCUGCUCUGCCCAGAGAAGAUCCCGGGAGUGGGUGGGUGGGAGAUUAACACAAAGGGUGAGUAAACUCGGAAAACACCACAAAUAUUUUUCAGGGCCUAUUAUAUGGGGCAUUUUUGUAGGUGUCCAAUUGGGGCAAGGGGUUGUGCUGCAGAAAUCCAGAGGCUGUUUCAAACCUCUACUUUUCAUAGAAGUUUGCUGGAGCCAUAUAAACAUUUGAGAGCUCUGAUUUUCUUCAGGCCUCAUAUGAUAUAGUUCCCUUUGCACUCACCAAAAUUCACAUUAUAACAGAAAGUCCAGCGAGGCGCUGGAUGAAAGCCAGCUUCUGCGAAGGUAAGGGCAAGGAAAGGAAGUGGGUUUAGAAUUCUGCUUUGUUUGCUGUGCUGUGCCAAUCAUGGGACUGUCAUGUAUGCGCUCAAGCAUGUGCAGAGUUCCAGCUUCUUUAUUUUUAAUUAUUUUGCACUACCUACUAAGUACUUCUAUAAUGCCCUUCAAUAUGCUGGCCUGUGUGGGGAAUAACUUUGGGUUCUUUAUAAAGAGGGGGGAAGUAAAUCACUUCAGAUCUUUCUCCUUGCUGGAAAAUCCUUUUAGGGGGAAAAACAGCCCUUUAUAUUUUAUUUUCUCUCCCCCCCACUUCCCUUUGUAACAAUGAUCUGUUAAGGCAUAAGAGAAUGCAAUGAAAUCUCUUAAUGACACUGUUCUAUUUUUCCUUUACUCUCUGCUUUGCUUAGUGUUCAAAUCUGAAGGAUUUUCCCUUCUUUUUUGUAUAUUUGUUCUUUCUCCUCACCAUAAUUGUUGCUUAGAAGGUCUUAUGUUUAUCUCUCUAAUUUGGGAAGUUGUCUAUUUGUAAUGCCUUACAGUGACACUACAUGGCGAGACUAAUACAAUUUUAUCUAUAUUUUUAAUGUAUAUGUUAUGCAAAGAGAUUUGGCAUACAGGCUGUUCUUUUAAAGGCCCCUGUUUGAACCUUAUACCCCGGGCUCCAUGUUUAUCAUACUAAGAGAGCUGGUGUUAUCAGGAGUCAAAUCUCCUCUCAGUCAUGAAACUCACUGGGUGACCUUGGGCCUAGCUCUCUGCCUAACUACCUCACAGGGUUGUUGUGAGAAGAAAAGGAGGAGAGGAAGAACCAUGUAUGCAGAACCUUGAUCUCCUUGGAGGAAAGGAAUGGGCAUACAUGUAACAGUAAUAACAGCAUCAAAUCUUUUCCUUCGAUGAAUGCUUAUUCUGCACUACACAUCAGUGGUGACUUAACUUUUUUUUUUGAAAAUUUUAUGAGGGUUUUUGAUGGACUGAGGCAGGUCAGUGCGUCCCACUGUGUUUGUGUUUAUGUGAAACUUUUCAUUCCAUCAGCAUGUGAGCCCUGUGAUGAAAGUUUCCUCAGUGUGCCAUUUUUCUACACUUAAGUACUCUUGCUUAAUAGGUGAGCUGGAGCCAAAUUAUUGUAUUGUGAAUGUCUUUUUUGGGGGGAGAAACUGAAUUUAAUGCUUAAAAAAAAAAAUAGCAGAGAGAAUCCUUUAAUCUUUUUUCCUGUUCUUGGUUUGACCUGCUGCUUUGAGAGAACAGUGCCACAGAGUUAUUACGGCCUUGUAAGGUCAAGACUUGAGUGCCUGCUCAUAUCUCAGCACAGAUGGGCACGUUCUGAGUAGAAAACCUUGAUGGAGAAAUGUAAUAUGCUAGGACUUCAAAUAAACUCCCUCCCCACCCCCAGAUGUUCUCUGUAAAUGUCAGGAAAAGAUGGGCUCUACACCCUACACACACUUUGUGUGUGUAAAAACUAAAGUGGAUGAAAGAACAAAACAGGCAAGAUUGACAUUUAUUUCUCAGUGGCUUGUGCUCUCUGUUGAACAUGUGGCAUCCCAGGCUAUGAGAGACUAUUUAGAAUGGCAAAGCAUCACAAAUCCUUUGAAGUUCAGAGAUAGAAAAUAGGUUAAUUUCUGCCUGGGAAUUUCAAAAAUCCAGUAUUUUGUAUUGUUUUUCUUUCACAAUAGGGGAUUAUCGUCAAGAGCCGAGAGGUGUGCAGUUUGAUGAGGAAAGAGAAGGGGGAGUAAUGCUGUGUCCAGGAGCUCCCAGAAACCUGGUCCCAGCUCUCCUUUUUCCCAUUUACUUCUUAAUCUCCCUGCAUAGAAAAUUAGUAUGGUUUGAAUGUCCAAGGUUUUUUUUGCUUGUUUUUUUGUUGUUGGGGGGGAUGAGUGGGAGCAUUCAAACAUGUGAUAGCCACAUGCUUUCCUAACCAUGUGAUUUCCCCAAAUAUGUACAGGCCCUCAAUGACGCUAAAGUCCUAUUACAAUUCAGUGGGGUUCAGGCUGCAAUCCUCUACACAUUCACUUUGGAGUAAAGUACCACUGGUCAAUGGGGUUUACUUCCUAGCCAACAUGCAUAAGGUCAGGCUGCAUAGGACACAGGUCAUUGGAGAAAUUCCAUUCAUUCCAUAGUCUCCGUCUAUAAUCUUUGAGAAUUCUAGGAAAACAGACAAGGCCCCCACAAACUGGAGGUGGACAAAAGUUGUCCCCAUCUUCAAAAAAAGGGGGGAAAGACCCAGGUAACCAUUUUCUCUGGAUUCUGACCCAAAUCUCUCUUUCCCUACUGCACCCCACAAAUCUAGGAUUAAGGGCAAAAUGCUUUCCAGACCAAAUUAACGACUUUUUGAAAGGCUUAAGGCCUGUUACACCUUAUUUUAGAAAUGGAGCAUUUUCUAUCCUAAAAUAUCAUUAGUAUCCAUUCCUAACUCAUUAAAGCAAUUCAGAUC